GAUGAACGCUGGCGGCGUGCCUAAUACAUGCAAGUCGAGCGAACGGACGAGAAGCUUGCUUCUCUGAUGUUAGCGGCGGACGGGUGAGUAACACGUGGAUAACCUACCUAUAAGACUGGGAUAACUUCGGGAAACCGGAGCUAAUACCGGAUAAUAUUUUGAACCGCAUGGUUCAAAAGUGAAAGACGGUCUUGCUGUCACGUAUAGAUGGAUCCGCGCUGCAUUAGCUAGUUGGUAAGGUAACGGCUUACCAAGGCAACGAUGCAUAGCCGACCUGAGAGGGUGAUCGGCCACACUGUAACUGAGACACGGUCCAGACUCCUACGGGAGGCAGCAGUAGGGAAUCUUCCGCAAUGGGCGAAAGCCUGACGUAGCAACGCCGCGUGAGUGAUGAAGGUCUUCGGAUCGUAAAACUCUGUUAUUAGGGAAGAACAUAUGUGUAAGUAACUGUGCACAUCUUGACGGUACCUAAUCAGAAAGCCACGGCUAACUACGUG
RNAcentral lists this ribosomal RNA (497 nucleotides) under uncultured bacterium. RNAcentral's name for it is "partial 16S ribosomal RNA". It matches the Rfam family "Bacterial small subunit ribosomal RNA", at positions 28 to 507 of the family's 1533-position model. The record is from RNAcentral.